RNAcentral lists this unclassified non-coding RNA (3305 nucleotides) under Apis florea (little honeybee). RNAcentral describes it as "transmembrane and coiled-coil domains protein 2, transcript variant X11". Lineage: Eukaryota; Metazoa; Arthropoda; Insecta; Hymenoptera; Apidae. The record is from RNAcentral.
ACAUGCGUCGAUAAAUAUAUUACAUGUGAGAUAAUAUCGUCGAAGCUUGAGAAUGAAGGAAGAGGUGAUUAAUCAAGAGUUGGAUAAGGACCAAUGGAAAUUAGAAGCUCAAGCUAUUAUAAAUGACGUGAAACAACAUUAUUUAAUCCGAAUUUAGCCGAAGAUAUCCGAGUAAUAUAGUAAUUUGCAAGGACAGUAUCGUAUUUGGUACAUGAUUUGUAUAAAUAUUGUGAUGGAUACUGCAAUAGAUACGAUACUGUGAUAUUGACGAAUCGCGCGUUCCUAGGAAAUAUCCCUAGGAAUCAAAAGAUCAGUCAGUGCAAGUGGUAAUAUCGGUUGUGUUUACCCCCUCCUUUACGUUCGUUGCUCUGUGUUCCGUUUGGCGUAUUCCACUGUCGAGUUGUGAAGUAACGAAGCGGUUUCGCCGAAUGUGGCGUAUCGUGUGUGCAUUUUAUGAUGUUUCUGAAUGAGUUUACCGUUGAUUAAAUGCCUAAGAACGACACAGUGUAUCCUGUUUGUUAAUAUUACAGUGAAUAGUGCGACGAUGUUAAACGGUGAGCGAUGACACGCCCGUGAAAAACGAUAACAACAGCUAUCCUUUGAUUGACCAGAAACGAUAGAGAAAACGCAAUACGCGAAGAACCCUUUUUGUGUAUUUUUUUGUGACAUUUAUUGAUAAAAACAUGCUUCAGCCAAGAGCUACAUACAUCAAACGAUAAAAAAGGAAAAAGGAAUGGAUAAUUUGAUGAUAACUACAUCAAGUAAGAAUAGUUCACGCAGUACAUCACCUAAGAGAAGAAAUACAUUUAUUUCAUCUCAACAAUUAUCAGCUACUUUGGAAUAUAUUCCAAAAAUACGUAAUGUUUCACUUUCCCAAACAGGGGAGGAUAGUACAGGCAGUGGAAGUAGUGGUGGUGAAGGCAGUCUCAGCAUGAAAGGUAGUAGGCAAAAAUCACCAGGAACUGUGAUUCGAGUAGAUGCUAUGGAUGAAUCAAAUACCAAUUUAAUCACUGCCGAACAAGAUGAGUUUGUGCCAAAUAUUCAUCUACCAACUGAUGAUGAUGGAGAACAAUACCAUGCAACACAAUCGUUCCUAUCAAAUGGCUCUUCUGAAUUAAUAACUGAUGAUGUUGACUCUAAUUCUGCUCGUGUUUGUCAAGCAAUUGAAAACAUUCAAAAUAAAAUUGCUAAAACACGAGAACUUAUAAGAAUAGAACAAACCACACGUGAUGAAAAUGUCAAUGAAUAUUUAAAAUUAGCUGCAAAUGCAGAUAAGCAGCAACUUACCCGAAUCAAAGCAGUAUUUGAGAAGAAAAAUCAAAAAUCAGCGCACAGUAUUUCUCAACUCCAAAAAAAAUUAGAUAGUUACACAAAAAAAUUAAAAAAUUUUGAGUUGAAUGGUGCACCUACAAGUCAUAGACAACCAAGAGAAGUGCUUCGUGAUAUGGGACAAGGACUCAAAAACGUGGGUGGCAAUAUUAGAGUUGGAAUCAGUGGUUUUUCAGGAAGUGUAAUGUCUAAACCAAGAGAAUUUGCACAUUUAAUAAAAAAUAAGUUUGGCAGUGCUGAUAACAUAAAUACUUUAUCUCUUGAAAGUAAUGGCUCGACUUUUUAUGUAAACGAUACACCGCGUGCAGGUAAUGGAGAUAACGCUAGUGUUGAAGAUGAAAAAGCUCAUCAUGGUUCAGCGACGCUUCCUGGUGGAUGUAGUUUGGGAUCAACUCAUAGUGCUGCAGCAAUGAAAUUUCCAUCCGAAGAAGGAUCCGAAUGUUCUAGCGUUACAAGCGAAAGCGGACCUGGUAGUAGGGGGCAAGCACACACAUGUCACAAUAGUAAUAAUGCUGCACUUAGUCUCAAAUCUAUUUUCUCAGAGCUACAAGAACAUAGAGAAAAUCUGGAGAGAAUGAAAGAUAAAUUAGAAGGUUUAAAGAGUUUACAACAAGAAGUGACAUAUCUUUCCCAUGCUUUACAAGAGGAACGUUUUAGAUGUGAGCGUUUAGAAGAACAAAUUAAUGAUUUGACUGAGCUGCAUCAAAAUGAAGUAGAAAACUUGAAACAGACUAUAACAGAUAUGGAAGAAAAAGUGCAAUAUCAAAGUGAAGAUCGUUUAAGAGAUAUACAUGAAAUGUUGGAAAGUUGUCAAACUAAAAUUUGUAAAAUGGAACAUCAACAACAGCAACACCAACAAUAUGUCACGUUAGAGGGUUUGGAUAAUAGUAAUGCAAGAGCAUUAGUUGUAAAGCUUAUAAAUGUGGUAUUGACUGUGUUGCAAGUUAUUCUACUUCUUGUCGCGACAGGUGCUGGUAUAAUGAUGCCUUUUCUUAGGACUAGUUGUACUAAGCCUCAUUGUUUCAUGUGCAGGGUGCGCAUAUUAACUACUACGCUUGUUGUAUUGGGCAUAGUAUUUGUGCUCAAACAAUGGCCUGAGGUUCACGACGUCGGCAGUCACCUCAUGCGCCAUCUUAAACAGACGCUCGCUGUUAAGUAGCACAUUGGUUAUUCUAGGGUAUAUUUAAAUUAAUGACCCUGUAAUGAAGAAAAAUUGUACACAAUGAUCAACAUUUUGGACCUAUUUAUGUGCUGUAGUUUUGGAGCAAUAAUAGUAGAAUUACAAUACAUAAAACAUAUUUUGCUGUGCAAAAAUGUUUCACUUAUGAAGGAGAGAUUUUCUAGAGAUGAUAAAUGCAAAAGUAUCAUUUAUCUCUUGUGCAAGUAUUAUAAAUUUAUUUACGAUCUUUUUAUUUUUACUUGAGUAAUUUUGUUAAAAAAGAAAAAAUAAAGAGAAAUAUACGUAUUUACUAUUUAAUAUUACUUGCGCGCGAAUAAAACAACUAUUAUAAUUUAAAAUGAAAUAAAAUAAUUUCUAUAAAAUAUGAAAGAGACAGUAAUAAUAAUGCUGUACACUGAUAUUGCUUGAUUACAUACGGCACAUUGUUAGAAGAAUUUACUCUAAUAUGUGUGCGAUUAAAUUUACUUUUACAUGAAUUAUUGAUUAAUAUGAAAUUAAAAAAAAAAUUAUUAAACAAGCGAAAGUAUUGAUUAAAAAAUAAAAAAAAUUCUAUCAUUAGUGUCUGUGGGAGGUGCUAUUAUCAUUUUCGGGAGUGGUUUGUACAUUCGAUAUUCUAGUAAUUAAUUUUUAAUAAUUGCAAAGAUUAUAAAUACAUUCUAAAUAAAAUAUUUGUAAUUAAAAUCAUCCAAUUUCUAAACAAUAAUAUAAAUUAAAAAAACAAUAGAAUAUUUAGAUAAUUGUAUAAAUAUUCUUUAUUUCAAAAUGAUUAUUAUAAAAUAUAUAAUAUAUUCUUUAA